This 77-nucleotide transfer RNA is filed under the name Ileibacterium valens. Its description in RNAcentral is "tRNA-Pro". It matches the Rfam family "tRNA". Rfam says of the family: Transfer RNA (tRNA) molecules are approximately 80 nucleotides in length. Their secondary structure includes four short double-helical elements and three loops (D, anti-codon, and T loops). RNAcentral also lists the same sequence under 2 other names. The record is from RNAcentral. Lineage: Bacteria; Bacillati; Bacillota; Erysipelotrichia; Erysipelotrichales; Erysipelotrichaceae.
CAGGAUGUAGCUUAGCUUGGUAAAGUGCUUGGUUCGGGACCAAGAGACCGCGGGUUCAAAUCCCGCCAUCCUGACCA